This is a long non-coding RNA of Oreochromis aureus, 2614 nucleotides long. RefSeq lists it as uncharacterized. The record is from RefSeq and is a predicted model, not a curated record. The transcript is spliced from 3 exons. Lineage: Eukaryota; Metazoa; Chordata; Actinopteri; Cichliformes; Cichlidae.
GUUCAUCGUUAUCACUCUAGUGUUAUUGUUAUCAUGUGUGUUAGAGGCGCACAAUAUAAUUUAAUUUUAGUGGUGUCCUCGGGAUUCCCAUAUGCUUGUUUGCCAUUCACCUAGGGACCAUUUUUGAUCCGAGGACACCACAAGGGUUACAAUUGUAAUGCCAAUUAAAUUGCCUCGACUGAAUAACACAACAAUGUGUUGCCUUUUUUUUAUUGCAUGUGCUAAGGAUGCACACUUCAUUGAACUUUAUUCUCAAUCAUGUCCCACAAUUAAAUUAACCUGAUCAUUUGCAGACAAACAGGAGGAUCUUGAAAUCUAUACAACCACUUUUUCAGGUAUCUGUGAGGAGCCUAGCAGGACUGUGGACAAGCUGGAGACAGGGCAGAGAGGACUGACUGAGACCAGUGUAAAGUCAGUUACAAUCGUCUAACUGGCAGGAAAUGAGAGCAUGAAUUACAAUUUCACCAUCUUUCAUGGAAAGAAAAGGCCUCAGUUCAAUAUUUAACCACUAAGUUAAAUAUGUCAAAUAUCACAUCAAGAUUUUUUGCAUAGGGUUGGAUGCUGGACAGAUGAAGCUGAUCGCAAAGCUGAGGGCACUCAAAGUGCUCAGUUUAAGUAGAAAAGAAAUUUAAACAACAGUUUAAAAGUGAAAGCAGUGCUCUGUGGAUUUAAUCCUGUGUUAGGUUUUGGUAACUGCACUGAAUUUAGGUGAAUAAGGAGGACCAACUUUAUUUUGAUCCAAAUAUUUGUACAUUAGUGGGGAAGUUAAAGUUUGUAUCCAAAGUUGCAGAAAAGACAAUAGCAUUGUGUUUACAAAUUAAAAAAGUGCGAGUAAAAUGGUUACAUACUGUUUCAAACAAAUAAACUAAGAAAAAUAUUGAAAGUUGUAGCAAAAAGAGGUAAAAUAAGACGGCAGAUUACAAGGUUUAAAUGAACUGAAUUGAACCCUACACGAGAAAAAGCUGAGUAAUUAAAAAAUAAAUGAAAGAAUCAGAAAAUAUUGAAUGUAAGCUGAUAUUCUUUAGGGGACUGGGAAGACUUGAUACUAGAACUGUGACUUAAACAAGUCCCUACUUACUAAGGAAAGUAUGAAUUACAUUCCAGGCUCCUACACCAGGUAGGUGCUGAUAUGCAUUUAUAUGUGAAGGUUUUGGUAAUAUCUCCUUAAACAUUUGUUUUCAUGUUGGCUUGAAAUACAAUAUCAAUGUUGUACUGCAACUUAAGUAUGCGUUUAAAUGUAAUGCUUAGGAGAGGCAAAGCGUGAUGUGUAUGUAAAUUUUAAUAUGUAUGUAAUUUUGUAUACUUUAAAUAAAGUGUUUUUUUAAAAAAAACAAAAACAAAACCAAAGCGUGAUAGCCACAUGUUGGACCAGCACAUCUAUUACGUGCUUUACCAUGAUACUGGGCUAUUAUUCCCAGUAUGCACAAAACAGGUCUUAGAUCCGGAUCUUUGAAGUGGACGAUGGGAUCCCCACACACACACACACACACACAGAGAGAGAGAGAGAGAGAGGUAGCAGGAAGAGAGACGAGUAAAACAAUAGCGGCAAGUGGGUAUAAAAAGAUUUAUUUUUGACAUAUAUGACCUGACAGGGGAUUUCUUUAAAUCACCCUGCCGUUCUUCAGCUGAGACAUCUGAGUUAGAAAACACACAAACACUGCAGUUCUUUUGCUCGCGAGGACGGUCACAGAGCGCUCGCACAGGAGACACUCGUGAACUCGCACUUUGUCACCGUCUGCGUUCUUUAUUUGUACAAGAUAUUCUGUGUGUGUGUGUGUAUGUGUGUGUGUGUUACAUAGAUAACAACAUCACGCCAGUAGCGGGACUUCCCCUUUUCUAUAUCUGUAUGUUGUCGUAAAAGAGCGGAGCUUGGUCUUCUUCUACAUCUAAAUGUUCAGAACAACAGGAUGCGGACAACUGGUUUACUCAAAUUCUACUUAAAGAGUGGAUAGCAUCAAGGAUGUGAGACUUGAGGGUCCUGCGUACUAUCGUCACUGUUCCUAGGACUGCAUUCUUACCAGCUUUGUACAGCCAUUGGUUUCUACUGGAUAAAGUAGUCACUAAACACAUGUUUCUAUCUCUAUCUAAAGAUAUAGAGAUAGAAAGAGAUAUAUAGAUAUUACUGGUCAAAUGUUUGGGAUCAGAUAUGAAGUUUGUCUGUAUAGGAAAUUUAGCAAAUGAGCAGGAAAUGCUGACAAUGUCGGAGUUAGAAAUAAUGAUUUCAGUGGAAAUCAAAUCAUGAAUGUGUUCUUCCAACUUUGCCUUCCUCAAAACAAACACCUCUUUCAGUAAUUACGGCCUGGCAGAUAAUUCUACAUGUCAAUUUUUCAAGGUAAUCUGAUGAGACUUCACCCCCCAAAGUAAUCUGUGCACCUGUUCCUGUACCUCAUUACCAUCACUAGUUAAGGUAGUGGUUAACCUUUGGUCUUUGCUGGAUUGUUGAACUAGUCUCAAUUAGUAAAGCCUGACUCCUUGCCUUUUGCUAACCCAUAACCCACGAAAUUGCUGCGGUACUUAGUGCAAACGUACUGUCAUAUAACUCUUAAAUAGACAUAAAAAUAACAAUUAAAAGUGCUAAGUAGAUAGAUAUAUACAUGAGUGCAGGUGGUGAUCA